GACGAACGCUGGCGGCGUGCUUAACACAUGCAAGUCGAACGCUGAAGCUCAGCUUGCUGGGUGGAUGAGUGGCGAACGGGUGAGUAACACGUGAGUAACCUGCCCUCUUCUUUGGGAUAACGCCCGGAAACGGGUGCUAAUACUGGAUAUUCACUGAUUCUCGCAUGGGGGUUGGUGGAAAGGUUUUUUCUGGUGGGGGAUGGGCUCGCGGCCUAUCAGCUUGUUGGUGGGGUGAUGGCCUACCAAGGCUUUGACGGGUAGCCGGCCUGGGAGGGUGACCGGUCACAUUGGGACUGAGAUACGGCCCAGACUUCUACGGGAGGCAGCAGUGGGGAAUAGUGCACAAUGGGCGAAAGCCUGAUGCAGCGGCGCCGCGUGAGGGAUGGAGGCCUUCGGGGUGUAAACCUCUUUCGCUCAUGGUCAAGCCGCAGCUUGGGGUUGUGGUGAGGGUAGUGGGUAAAGAAGCGCCGGCUAACUACGUG
Molecule: ribosomal RNA, 482 nt
Filed under: uncultured bacterium
Lineage: Bacteria
Description: partial 16S ribosomal RNA
Rfam family: Bacterial small subunit ribosomal RNA
Source: RNAcentral